Molecule: non-coding RNA, 829 nt
Organism: Sus scrofa (pig)
Lineage: Eukaryota; Metazoa; Chordata; Mammalia; Artiodactyla; Suidae
Source: RefSeq, a predicted model, not a curated record
UUGAGCUUCGGACCUGAGCUGCUCCACGCGGCCCUGAGGCGGGAUGCGAGGGGCGCUUUGUGCCGGGAGCUGGAACCUGACCUAUGAGGCACAAGGCCUCUCACUCGGCACCUUCUUCCAAGUGAACCUGGACUAAAAUGACCACGUGCCGGACUGUGUCAUCAGAUCUUCACAGCCCCAUGAGUUAAGAACCUUGAUGAUUUCCAUUCUGCAGAUGAGGAUGAGGCACACGUGACAUGCACAGGCCACGCAUCGGCCUUGUGGAAUAGUCACCUCUGGCUGUAUCUUAUUAGAAACCGGCAAGAAAAUAACUAAAAAUAAUCGGCUGUUGAAAUGAUUAUUUAAGCCGCCAAGAAAUGCAUCCUGAUGACUGUGCGUGACUGCGCGGUGGCUGCGCUCUCGCCGGUCCUGCCUCCAGUUCGGUUCCACUUCUCCGCUGCUGCUUUAAGACUGCAGAGCGCCCCAGCGGCCAGAGGCAGGGGAGGGGGUCCCCGCUCGCCUCCGCUCCUCUCGCUCCUCGCCCGCCCGCCCGCCCGCCUCCCAGGCAGGGAAGGUUAGCGAGGGAUCAAUGUGAUUCGGGCCGCAGGAGAGGAAAGAUGAGCCUGCCCGCCCGCCUGCUGCCUGGAUGUGGAGGCUGAGGGCCGGCGCACCGGAGGCCGCUUGCUGCGCAGUCUGGGCGCCCGGCGCCCGGGAUGAGCUCACGCCCGCGUCUGCGGCUCGGUCCACCUGCCGACCUGCCGGCGGCCCCCUGAGCUGACGGCGCACCUGGGCUGCAGCCCCGCCGGCCCGCUCUGGCCGCAGCGUUGGGCGCGGCGCCCGGGAGCAGGUG